Molecule: ribosomal RNA, 468 nt
Filed under: uncultured bacterium
Lineage: Bacteria
Description: partial 16S ribosomal RNA
Rfam family: Bacterial small subunit ribosomal RNA
Source: RNAcentral
GAUGAACGCUGGCGGCGUGCUUAACACAUGCAAGUCGAACGGAAAGGCCCAAGCUUGCUUGGGUACUCGAGUGGCGAACGGGUGAGUAACACGUGGGUGAUCUGCCCUGCACUUCGGGAUAAGCCUGGGAAACUGGGUCUAAUACCGGAUAGGACCACUUCUUGGAUGUUGUGGUGGAAAGUUUUUUCGGUGUGGGAUGAGCUCGCGGCCUAUCAGCUUUUUGGUGGGGUCAUGGCCUACCAAGGCGUCGACGGGUAGCCGGCCUGAGAGGGUGUACGGCCACAUUGGGACUGAGAUACGGCCCAGACUCCUACGGGAGGCAGCAGUGGGGAAUAUUGCACAAUGGGCGCAAGCCUGAUGCAGCGACGCCGCGUGGGGGAUGACGGCCUUCGGGUUGUAAACUCCUUUCGCUAGGGAAGAAGCGUUUUUGUGACGGUACCUGGAGAAGAAGCACCGGCUAACUACGUG